This 79-nucleotide transfer RNA is filed under the name Staphylococcus xylosus. Its description in RNAcentral is "tRNA-Leu". It matches the Rfam family "tRNA". Rfam says of the family: Transfer RNA (tRNA) molecules are approximately 80 nucleotides in length. Their secondary structure includes four short double-helical elements and three loops (D, anti-codon, and T loops). Further hydrogen bonds mediate the characteristic L-shaped molecular structure. tRNAs have two regions of fundamental functional importance: the anti-codon, which is responsible for specific mRNA codon recognition, and the 3' end, to which the tRNAs corresponding amino acid is attached (by aminoacyl-tRNA synthetases). tRNAs cope with the degeneracy of the genetic code in two manners: having more than one tRNA (with a specific anti-codon) for a particular amino acid; and 'wobble' base-pairing, i.e. permitting non-standard base-pairing at the 3rd anti-codon position. Lineage: Bacteria; Bacillati; Bacillota; Bacilli; Caryophanales; Staphylococcaceae. The record is from RNAcentral.
GCCGGCGUGGCGGAAUUGGCAGACGCGCGGGACUCAAAACCCGUUCCUUUGAGUGUCGGUUCGAUCCCGACCGCCGGUA